GGCGUCGUAGCCAAGUGGCUAAGGCAAGGCUCUGCAAAAGCUUCAUCCCCGGUUCAAAUCCGGGCGACGCCU
This 72-nucleotide transfer RNA is filed under the name Spirochaetia bacterium. RNAcentral describes it as "tRNA-Cys". It matches the Rfam family "tRNA". Rfam says of the family: Transfer RNA (tRNA) molecules are approximately 80 nucleotides in length. The record is from RNAcentral. Lineage: Bacteria; Pseudomonadati; Spirochaetota; Spirochaetia. RNAcentral also lists the same sequence under 1 other name.